RNAcentral lists this ribosomal RNA (493 nucleotides) under uncultured Exiguobacterium sp. RNAcentral describes it as "bacterial SSU rRNA". It matches the Rfam family "Bacterial small subunit ribosomal RNA", at positions 57 to 522 of the family's 1533-position model. Lineage: Bacteria; Bacillati; Bacillota; Bacilli; Caryophanales. The record is from RNAcentral.
GCAGUCGAGCGCAGGAAACCGUCUGAACCCUUCGGGGGGACGACGGCGGAAUGGGCGGCGGACGGGUGAGUAACACGUAAAGAACCUGCCCAUAGGUCUGGGAUAACCACGAGAAAUCGGGGCUAAUACCGGAUGUGUCAUCGGACCGCAUGGUCCGCUGAUGAAAGGCGCUCCGGCGUCGCCCAUGGAUGGCUUUGCGGUGCAUUAGCUAGUUGGUGGGGUAACGGCCCACCAAGGCGACGAUGCAUAGCCGACCUGAGAGGGUGAUCGGCCACACUGGGACUGAGACACGGCCCAGACUCCUACGGGAGGCAGCAGUAGGGAAUCUUCCACAAUGGACGAAAGUCUGAUGGAGCAACGCCGCGUGAACGAUGAAGGCUUUCGGGUCGUAAAGUUCUGUUGUAAGGGAAGAACAAGUGCCGCAGGCAAUGGCGGCACCUUGACGGUACCUUGCGAGAAAGCCACGGCUAACUACGUGCCAGCAGCCGCGGUA